CGCUCUGUUCUGCCCUUUCACUGAAAAUAGCUCUUCCUGACACAGGCUUGGGUAGUGAAAGCAGCUUGGUCACAUCUGUCCCAUGGUGUAACUAAUCUUUAGGAUCUGCAGAGACCUGCCUUCCUCUGCAAUUGUAACUGUACCUCCAAUCGUGAGUUUCGUCUGGCAGCUUAACUGGGCUACCAGCGAGGUCCUCAUAAUGGCUUUUGCUCCUUGCCUCGCGGAGACCCGACUCUGGAAUCCUUAGCCAGUGGUUAGAUGCUGCAACUGCACUUCCUGGCUCCGUCCUCUUGAGCAAGUGAAUUCGCUUCUCUGAGCAUCAGAGAAGUAAUCGGUAAAACAGGGAUAAUAGUAAUUUACUCAUGGGCUUGUUGU
Molecule: long non-coding RNA, 375 nt
Filed under: Homo sapiens (human)
Lineage: Eukaryota; Metazoa; Chordata; Mammalia; Primates; Hominidae
Description: HSALNT0188520
Source: RNAcentral